AUUGAACGCUGGCGGCAUGCCUUACACAUGCAAGUCGAACGGCAGCACGGGAGCAAUCCUGGUGGCGAGUGGCGAACGGGUGAGUAAUACAUCGGAACGUGCCCAAUCGUGGGGGAUAACGCAGCGAAAGCUGUGCUAAUACCGCAUACGAUCUACGGAUGAAAGCAGGGGAUCGCAAGACCUUGCGCGAAUGGAGCGGCCGAUGGCAGAUUAGGUAGUUGGUGAGGUAAAGGCUCACCAAGCCGUCGAUCUGUAGCUGGUCUGAGAGGACGACCAGCCACACUGGGACUGAGACACGGCCCAGACUCCUACGGGAGGCAGCAGUGGGGAAUUUUGGACAAUGGGCGAAAGCCUGAUCCAGCCAUGCCGCGUGCAGGAUGAAGGCCUUCGGGUUGUAAACUGCUUUUGUACGGAACGAAACGGCCUUCUCUAAUAAAGAGGGCUAAUGACGGUACCGUAAGAAUAAGCACCGGCUAACUACGUGCCAGCAGCCGCGGUAAUACGUAGGGUGCAAGCGUUAAUCGGAAUUACUGGGCGUAAAGCGUGCGCAGGCGGUUAUGUAAGACAGUUGUGAAAUCCCCGGGCUCAACCUGGGAACUGCAUCUGUGACUGCAUAGCUAGAGUACGGUAGAGGGGGAUGGAAUUCCGCGUGUAGCAGUGAAAUGCGUAGAUAUGCGGAGGAACACCGAUGGCGAAGGCAAUCCCCUGGACCUGUACUGACGCUCAUGCACGAAAGCGUGGGGAGCAAACAGG
Molecule: ribosomal RNA, 753 nt
Filed under: uncultured Comamonadaceae bacterium
Lineage: Bacteria; Pseudomonadati; Pseudomonadota; Betaproteobacteria; Burkholderiales; Comamonadaceae
Description: bacterial SSU rRNA
Rfam family: Bacterial small subunit ribosomal RNA
Source: RNAcentral